GAUGAACGCUAGCGGCAGGCCUAAUACAUGCAAGUCGAACGGUAAAUAUGAUAGCAAUAUUAUAUGAGAGUGACGUACGGGUGCGUAACACGUAUGCAACCUACCUUGUACAGGAGGAUAGCUCGGGGAAACUCGAAUUAACCCUCCAUAAUAUGUUGGUGUGGCAUCACGCAGACAUUAAAACUUUGGUGGUACAAGAUGGCAUGCGUCUGAUUAGUUAGUUGGC
Molecule: ribosomal RNA, 226 nt
Filed under: uncultured bacterium
Lineage: Bacteria
Description: partial 16S ribosomal RNA
Rfam family: Bacterial small subunit ribosomal RNA
Source: RNAcentral